RNAcentral lists this ribosomal RNA (279 nucleotides) under uncultured Staphylococcus sp. RNAcentral's name for it is "partial 16S ribosomal RNA". It matches the Rfam family "Bacterial small subunit ribosomal RNA", at positions 83 to 355 of the family's 1533-position model. The record is from RNAcentral. Lineage: Bacteria; Bacillati; Bacillota; Bacilli; Caryophanales; Staphylococcaceae.
CCUUUGACGUUAGCGGCGGACGGGUGAGUAACACGUGGGUAACCUACCUAUAAGACUGGGAUAACUUCGGGAAACCGGAGCUAAUACCGGAUAAUAUUUCGAACCGCAUGGUUCGAUAGUGAAAGGUGGUUUUGCUAUCACUUAUAGAUGGACCCGCGCCGUAUUAGCUAGUUGGUAAGGUAACGGCUUACCAAGGCGACGAUACGUAGCCGACCUGAGAGGGUGAUCGGCCACACUGGAACUGAGACACGGUCCAGACUCCUACGGGAGGCAGCAGUC